RNAcentral lists this ribosomal RNA (301 nucleotides) under uncultured bacterium. Its description in RNAcentral is "partial 16S ribosomal RNA". It matches the Rfam family "Bacterial small subunit ribosomal RNA", at positions 509 to 807 of the family's 1533-position model. The record is from RNAcentral.
CAGCAGCCGCGGUAACACAGAGGGUGCGAGCGUUAAUCGGAUUUACUGGGCGUAAAGCGUGCGUAGGCGGCUAAUUGAGUCGGAUGUGAAAUCCCCGAGCUUAACUUGGGAAUUGCAUUCGAUACUGGUUAGCUAGAGUGUGGGAGAGGAUGGUAGAAUUCCAGGUGUAGCGGUGAAAUGCGUAGAGAUCUGGAGGAAUACCGAUGGCGAAGGCAGCCAUCUGGCCUAACACUGACGCUGAGGUACGAAAGCAUGGGGAGCAAACAGGAUUAGAUACCCGGGUAGUCCCUGUCUCUUAUAC